Molecule: ribosomal RNA, 503 nt
Filed under: Semisulcospira gottschei
Lineage: Eukaryota; Metazoa; Mollusca; Gastropoda; Semisulcospiridae
Also listed under: 1 other name
Description: partial 16S ribosomal RNA
Rfam family: Bacterial large subunit ribosomal RNA
Source: RNAcentral
GGCUCUUUGCUCACAUAAAUAUAAAGAGUCGAGCCUGCCCAGUGAAUUUUUAACGGCCGCGGUACUCUGACCGUGCAAAGGUAGCGUAAUCAUUUGCCUUAUAAUUGAAGGCUAGUAUGAAUGGUUUGACGAGAGCAAUACUGUCUCCUUUUUAUUUUCAAAAACUUAACUUUUAGGUGAAGAGGCCUAAAUUUUAUUGAAGGACAAGAAGACCCUGUCGAGCUUAAAAGACAUAUAGGAGUCUAAUAUAUUUUUAAACAAAUUUUCUGUUAAGCUUUUUAGUUGGGGCGACUAAGGAACAAAAAAAGCUUCUUUCUAAUAUAUAAACAAUCAUGUUUGGAUCCGAUAAUAGCGAUCAAAGAAAUUAGUUACCGCAGGGAUAACAGCAUAAUCUCUCUUAAGAGACCUAAUCGAAAGAGGGGGUUGUGACCUCGAUGUUGGACUAGAAUAUCCUAAAGAUGCAGAAGUCUUUAAGGGUCGGUCUGUUCGACCGUUAAAAUUCU